AAUAGAUACCCCGGUAGUCCAUGCCGUAAACGUUAGGGAACUAGAUGUGGGGACCAUUCCACGGUCUCCGUGUCGCAGCUAACGCAUUAAGUUCCCCGCCUGGGGAGUGCGGCCGCAAGGCUAAAACUCAAAGGAAUUGACGGGGGCCCGCACAAGCGGCGGAGCAUGCGGAUUAAUUCGAUGCAACGCGAAGAACCUUACCAAGGCUUGACAUAUACGAGAACGCCGUAGAAAUACGGAACUCUUUGGACACUUGUAUACAGGUGGUGCAUGGUUGUCGUCAGCUCGUGUCGUGAGAUGUUGGGUUAAGUCCCGCAACGAGCGCAACCCUCGUCGUAUGUUGCCAGCACGUAAUGGUGGGAACUCAUAUGAGACUGCCGGGGUCAACUCGGAGGAAGGUGGGGAUGAGGUCAAAUCAUCAUGCCCCUUAUGUCUUGGGCUUCACGCAUGCUACAAUGGCCGGUACAAAGGGCUGCAAUACCGCGAGGUGGAGCGAAUCCCAAAAAGCCGGUCUCGAGUUCGGAUUGAGGUCUGCAACCG
Molecule: ribosomal RNA, 540 nt
Filed under: uncultured bacterium
Lineage: Bacteria
Description: bacterial SSU rRNA
Rfam family: Bacterial small subunit ribosomal RNA
Source: RNAcentral